Molecule: RNA transcript, 2949 nt
Organism: Capsicum annuum
Lineage: Eukaryota; Viridiplantae; Streptophyta; Magnoliopsida; Solanales; Solanaceae
Exons: 2
Source: RefSeq, a predicted model, not a curated record
AUUUGAAAUUUGGAGUUGGAGGAUUUUUUAAAAAGCUAAAAAGCUUUUAAAAAUUAUAUUUUACAUCCCAAAGUUAUCACCAUUUUUAAUUUAACACUUUUUUGUCACCCCCACCUAAUUUUAUCAGGAAACCAAACACUACGAAGAAAUUUGAGAUGAGCACCGACAGGGCAAAGGUGAAAAGGUCGAAGAAGCAUCAGAAGAAGCAUCAGAGCAAUAUGAACCCAUGUUUGUGUAUGAGGAUUUGAAGCCAUACCCGAAGCUGGUCAAAACGAGAAAAUAGAACAGUGCAAGAAGACCCUUGUAGCAUAUUUACAAGAGAGAAAUUAUGCUCUACCUUCUCUCUAAAAUAACUUCACCUAGCACUACCUGUAAAGUAACAUUACCUACUGUAUAUUAAGAUGGACACCCCAAUACCCUUACCAACUGAACCUAUGCAACUUGAACCUCCUGUUAAUACCUCUUUCCGAGAUAAACUACUACAGAAUACCCUGCUACAAGGACUGCAACAUGGUUCUACAUCUGCCGAAGAAAUUCUGGACCUACAGGAUGAAAUUACCCCAUUACAGUCAACGGAUAAUUUCGUUCCAAUCACAGCUACAGACAAGAGUAGGUUGUACCUGCUAUGGCGCUACACGAUUAUAAUCAAGGUAAUAGGACGCAAGAUAGGCCAUGAAGUACUGAAACAAAAACUGACUACACUAUGGAAGCCCUCUGAGGAGAUCUCAUUAAUUGACUUGGGUGCAGAUUUUUUCUUAAUCAAGUUUCAGUUUGAACAAAACAUGAAUCAUGCUUUACAUGACGGACCAUGGUUCUUAUUUAAUAAUUUUCUCUCAGUACAACGAUGGGAACCUAAAUUUGUUGCUUCUAAGGCACGAAUUGCUGGUUCAGCGAUAUGGAUACGAUUACCAGAGUUGCCUACGGAAUUCUAUGAUCUUGAUAUUCUUCAUAAGAUAGGCAAUAAAAUUGGUACGCUUCUAAAAAUCGACAACUGCACGUCCUCAACUUCUCGGGGCAGGUAUGCGCGACUAUGUGUCCAGGUACCCUUAGAGCAUCCCCUGCAACACCAUGUCUACAUUGGCACCCAUAAGCAACUGAUCCUUUAUGAAGGAGCCAACUCUCUUUGCACCAAGUGCGGCAGGCUAGGACAUAAUACAUCAAAAUGUACCUAUACCAUUGCUCACGACCCUGACAAGCCAGUGGAAUCUUCAGACAUUUCAAAGCCUCCAGACGAAUGGAAACUACUGCAAUUUACACCUAAAACGACUCAACGACAACAACUCGGGCAAGGGAAGGCUUUGAGCCAGCAACCACACGUUAAGGAAUCGUUCAAAGGUAAGUCGGCAUCAUUACAUCCACCGGAGAAGUGCUCCUUCCAGAACCGACCUGACGCAGGUAAGUCUACAGCAUAUAAAGGUAAGAACCAGUGGAAUGCUGCCACGCGUAAGCCCUUUAAUAAUUCUUACUUUGCUUCACUUAGGAUUGAUGAAGUGCAUAAUAAUCAAAAUGUGACUAAAGUUGGUAAUAAUGAUGGUUGUCCUGAUGUCGGCCAAAUUCUAUCUAACAAAGAUAAACUUUAUACUUCUGACCUGUCAAAAAAGCUGACACGACCCUUACUCCACUAUUAAUAAAUCCUCCUGGAAUUAAGGGGCACGUAAGCCCUGCUGAAGCCCCAACUUCGUCCCCACCUGGACCCCUCGUGGCAGACAUGCAUAUUCCAUCUCUCAUUCCAUGCCCUAAUAUCUCCUUGGAUCUAUCCUCUUUAGCUUCGAAUGAUUGCAACCCACGUGAUUUAUUCCUACCUGACAACUCCAAUUGGCUCUCAAAGAAGGCAAACCAUGCAAAUUCUCAUGAAGCCCAUGCGCCUAUAAUUGACCCUGACUUCUCUCUUAGUUCAGAUCCAACCUCUGCUCUAUAUAAUGCUCCAUGCGACCCUCCCUUGUCCAUUCAGAGGCGUUCACAUCCACUUAAAACCCACUCCUCUCUUCCAUCUAUUAUUGAAAUCACCAAUGGCGGAGAACAAUCCACAACGUCCAGUAUACACGACUUCGAGCCCUGCAAUAGCUGCUCCUCCUCAAUCGUGGCUCGAGGUGGCGCUGACGGGACACGCACUAACUUUUACGAUGCAAUGUGGCCAGACAGGAGACUCUAGUGAUGAUACAAAAUCCAAAGGACUUAGCUCAGAUCAUUCAGAGGGUAUGAAGCUCGGAUUGGAGACUUAUGGCCAAUACCAUUGGUUUGCGAUCCCACCAACGGUUCCGAAUCCGCUGCAGGCCUCAGCGUCAAACAUCGAACCUCCUGUAGUGAACAAUCUGCUGCUCCCGAAUCUUCCGUUCUACCCACAACCUCCAACAGAGGCGGAGGUUGUGCCUUGGAUCCAACAAUAUAUGAUAUCUGCACUAGUGGAUCCGACGCAGGAACAUCUGCAUGUACCACCAAUGCACCAAGAGAGAGUAGCUCAGGACAUGCAGGGCAUGCCUGGGGAGACGUUAGACUCAGAGAGCUCAUCCACGUUCAUGGGCCAGGUACGAGUCUUUCUCCUCAGAGAAUUCUUCGCAAAAAAAAAUAAACAUGCCUCCUCCAAAGAAUGGGUAGUCCUGAUAUAUGUCAUAUCUACAGGGAACAGAACAGACUAGCGGAUGCUUUAGUAUCUACUAUUACUACUACUACUGCUUUCAUGCAUAACUCCCCGGCUACAGUUAUGCUUUUUUGGGAAUCUCCACCAUCCAUCAUGGAUAUUUUGUGUGCCGACCAACGUGGAGAUUUGACAACCCGUAGGGUGAAAUACUCACCUAUAGAUCAGGAUGUACAUAAUAUAAGUGUUGUUGAUGUUGUACAUAUUCCUACUAGCCUAGCUAGAGCUACUUCUGCUAGCUCUUCUGUAGUGGCUAUGCCACAGAAACUGUCCCUGUAGAACUUUUGUUAAAAAAAAAGCAUAUUUACAACCUA